AGGGGAGUGAAAAAGAACCUGAAACCGUGUACGUACAAGCAGUGGGAGCACAGAGCAAUCUGUGUGACUGCGUACCUUUUGUAUAAUGGGUCAGCGACUUAUAUUCUGUAGCAAGGUUAACCGAAUAGGGGAGCCGAAGGGAAACCGAGUCUUAACUGGGCGUUAAGUUGCAGGGUAUAGACCCGAAACCCGGUGAUCUAGCCAUGGGCAGGUUGAAGGUUGGGUAACACUAACUGGAGGACCGAACCGACUAAUGUUGAAAAAUUAGCGGAUGACUUGUGGCUGGGGGUGAAAGGCCAAUCAAACCGGGAGAUAGCUGGUUCUCCCCGAAAGCUAUUUAGGUAGCGCCUCGUGAAUUCAUCUCCGGGGGUAGAGCACUGUUUCGGCAAGGGGGUCAUCCCGACUUACCAACCCGAUGCAAACUGCGAAUACCGGAGAAUGUUAUCACGGGAGACACACGGCGGGUGCUAACGUCCGUCGUGAAGAGGGAAACAACCCAGACCGCCAGCUAAGGUCCCAAAGUCAUGGUUAAGUGGGAAACGAUGUGGGAAGGCCCAGACAGCCAGGAUGUUGGCUUAGAAGCAGCCAUCAUUUAAAGAAAGCGUAAUAGCUCACUGGUCGAGUCGGCCUGCGCGGAAGAUGUAACGGGGCUAAACCAUGCAC
RNAcentral lists this ribosomal RNA (663 nucleotides) under Escherichia coli. Its description in RNAcentral is "partial 23S ribosomal RNA". It matches the Rfam family "Bacterial large subunit ribosomal RNA", at positions 532 to 1194 of the family's 2925-position model. The record is from RNAcentral. Lineage: Bacteria; Pseudomonadati; Pseudomonadota; Gammaproteobacteria; Enterobacterales; Enterobacteriaceae.